GCUGGGGUAGCCUAGCCCGGUAAGACGGUAGAUUCGAAAUCUACUGCUAGAAAUAGCUCGGGAGUUCAAAUCUCCCUCCCAGCG
This 84-nucleotide transfer RNA is filed under the name Ferroplasma sp. Its description in RNAcentral is "tRNA-Ser". It matches the Rfam family "tRNA". From Rfam's summary of the family: Transfer RNA (tRNA) molecules are approximately 80 nucleotides in length. Their secondary structure includes four short double-helical elements and three loops (D, anti-codon, and T loops). The record is from RNAcentral. RNAcentral also lists the same sequence under 1 other name. Lineage: Archaea; Methanobacteriati; Thermoplasmatota; Thermoplasmata; Thermoplasmatales; Ferroplasmaceae.